This 497-nucleotide ribosomal RNA is filed under the name uncultured bacterium. RNAcentral describes it as "partial 16S ribosomal RNA". It matches the Rfam family "Bacterial small subunit ribosomal RNA", at positions 28 to 507 of the family's 1533-position model. The record is from RNAcentral.
GAUGAACGCUGGCGGCGUGCCUAAUACAUGCAAGUCGAGCGAACGGACGAGAAGCUUGCUUCUCUGAUGUUAGCGGCGGACGGGUGAGUAACACGUGGAUAACCUACCUAUAAGACUGGGAUAACUUCGGGAAACAGGAGCUAAUACCGGAUAAUAUUUUGAACCGCAUGGUUCAAAAGUGAAAGACGGUCUUGCUGUCACUUAUAGAUGGAUCCGCGCUGCAUUAGCUAGUUGGUAAGGUAACGGCUUACCAAGGCAACGAUGCAUAGCCGACCUGAGAGGAUGAUCGGCCACACUGGAACUGAGACACGGUCCAGACUCCUACGGGAGGCAGCAGUAGGGAAUCUUCCGCAAUGGGCGAAAGCCUGACGGAGCAACGCCGCGUGAGUGAUGAAGGUCUUCGGAUCGUAAAACUCUGUUAUUAGGGAAGAACAUAUGUGUAAGUAACUGUGCACAUCUUGACGGUACCUAAUCAGAAAGCCACGGCUAACUACGUG